CCUACGAGCGGCAGCAGUGAGGAAUAUUGGUCAAUGGGCGAGCGCCUGAACCCGCCAAGUCGCGUGAGGGAGUACUUCCCUAUGGGUUGUAAACCUCUUUUGUCGGGGAGCAAAAGCCGGACGUUUCCGGCUGUUAGAGUACCCGAAGAAAAAGCAUCGGCUAACUCCGUGCCAGCAGCCGCGGUAAUACGGAGGAUGCGAGCGUUAUCCGGAUUUAUUGGGUUUAACGGGUGCGCAGGCGGAUUUUUAAGUCAGCGGUCAAAUCGUGGGGCUCAACCCCAUCCAGCCGUUGAAACUGGGGAUCUAGAGUGUGCGAGAGGUAUGCGGAAUGCGUGGUGUAGCGGUGAAAUGCAUAGAUAUCACGCAGAACCCCGAUUGCGAAGGCAGCAUACCGGUGCACAACUGACGCUCAGGCACGAAAGCGUGGGUAUCGAACAGGAUUAGAUACCCGAGUAGUC
This 458-nucleotide ribosomal RNA is filed under the name uncultured bacterium. RNAcentral describes it as "partial 16S ribosomal RNA". It matches the Rfam family "Bacterial small subunit ribosomal RNA", at positions 338 to 795 of the family's 1533-position model. The record is from RNAcentral.